RNAcentral lists this ribosomal RNA (292 nucleotides) under uncultured prokaryote. Its description in RNAcentral is "partial 16S ribosomal RNA". It matches the Rfam family "Archaeal small subunit ribosomal RNA", at positions 455 to 747 of the family's 1478-position model. The record is from RNAcentral.
GUGUCAGCCGCCGCGGUAAUACCAGCACCCCGAGUGGUCGGGACGAUUAUUGGGCCUAAAGCAUCCGUAGCCGGUUCUGCAAGUCCUCCGUUAAAUCCAACUGCUUAACAGAUGGGCCGCGGAGGAUACUACAGAGCUAGGAGGCAGGAGAGGCAAGCGGUACUCAGUGGGUAGGGGUAAAAUCCGUUGAUCCAUUGAAGACCACCAGUGGCGAAGGCGGCUUGCCAGAAUGCGCUCGACGGUGAGGGAUGAAAGCUGGGGGAGCAAACCGGAUUAGAUACCCGGGUAGUCC